AUCAACCUUAUUUUAGCCCUAAUUGUUCACAUCUAAUUGUCUCAAAUCUACUGCUAUGUCAAAAUGGUAUAAGAGUUGAAAAUCCUGCAUUCCCACAAGAAUUUUUGGCUAGGAAACUAUGGUUGGCAGAGCUAGAGGCAACCAACCCCUGAAGUUGGCUGAGAUACGGAGAAUGAUGGGGGACUUGACUUAGGAACUAGAGGGAGCUUGAAUGGAGUAUCUUGAAGGCGACCAUGAUCCCCUUAAGACUCAAGAUCUUAAGAUUGAGAAUGUGAACCCUUUUAAUGAAAUUGGACCUGCAGAUUGAGCAGCAAGAAGCCGAUUGGAAGAGUGGUGCCCUUGAUUUGAAUGGAGUUGUAAAAGUUGAAGUAGCUGAUUUCAUGCAAAGUUACAUGCGAAGGAUUAUUUUGAUUUAAAAGCCGGUUUGGAGAAUUACUUCGAAUGGAAGCCCAUGGUAGAAAAUUCAAUGAUGCUAUUUGUAAAGCUUAAAAAAUGAAGGGCACUAAACUUCAAUGGUGGAAGAGAUUGAAGAGCAACAUGCAUGAAAAAACCAAGCUUAAGGUUAACACUUGGGAGCAUUUGGAAACUAAGCUAUGAAAGCAAUUUUUACCUGUUGUUUAUAUAAUGAAACUAUAUUAGGAGUUCCAUUAUUUAAAGCAAAAUAGCAAGUCUGUUAAGGAUUACAUUGCGACUGCAGAGUUCAACAACCUGGCAAUUUGGGUCGGACUAUCCUAGAGUAACCAACAAAUUACUUCUCAUUAUCUUGCUGGUUUGAAUCAUUCUAUGAGAGAUGAUUAAUUUGUUUGUACAACAUAGAGGAUGCUCACGAAUAUGCUUUAGCAGUUGAAAAGCGAGUUUCAAGCCAUGGUGCUAGAAAGCUCUUAUAUGGCACCAAUUGAUAAAACAAUUCUAGAGCAAGAAGUAGUUAUCAAACGACGCAAUAAAAAUAUUAAGGGGAUUAUGUAACCAACAAAAAUAAUGGGGGUGUAAACAAUAUUGAAAAGAGUGAUAAAGGCAAUAGUAUAAUGGACAAAAUAAUUUUGGUUCUUCCAUAACUAAGGAGGCAGCAAUACCUAAAUUUGAUGUUUUACGUUUUUACUCAUGGAGAGAAAUGACACACUUCUUUUGCUUUCUCACAACAAAGAGUGAACCUAGUGGAAUUCAAGAGUUGGAACUAGUUUGUAAUGACUUUGAUGAGGAGAUAGAGGGAGUUGAUGUUCACCUUGCAGAAGGUGAGUCGUUAGUGGUGCGAAAAGUGAUGAAAACAACAAACAAUAAUGAAUAGGAGGAUUAGUGUUUCAUUCUUUGAAUAAGAUUUAUCCUACAAAGUAUAAAUAAGGUUGUUGGUAAAGAUCAAUAGUUCUUUUAAAAAAAAGAAAAAAAUUUAUCAAGAGCUUUUAUGUAAACCCUAAUUAUCUUUUCUUUAUUCCAACCGUAAUCAACCAUAUUUCAACCCUCAUUGUUGAAAUUGAAUUGUCUUAAACUCUUUCGCUGCAUCAAAAAGUUAAGAGAAUGAAACAUUAAGCUAUAGGCCUCUAAUUUACCACCUUCUAGAGGUAUUAAUGAUUGAACAAAUUGAAUUUACUAAAACUAAUUUACUGCUACUCCCACAGCUUUAAAACAAAAAUGCAUAAGCUCCCAAUGUCAGCAGACUUAUGACAACAAGUUUGACGAAAAACUAUAUCACUUGCAAACUACAUUUUACCUUCACAAGAUCUGCAAUAGGAUCAACCAAUAACAAAAUUCCCAAAAUGAUAAAAGUUCAUUACUUUUAAAAUUAAGUAAGUUCAGUUCAGCAUGUUGAGAAAUAUGCUGCCACUUAACAAGGAUGAGUCUAACCUGCACAUGCAUGGCAAGAAAUGCAGUGGCUGCCAUGAAUCCCAAGUGCAAAGUGCAUGGAAUG
Molecule: unclassified non-coding RNA, 1903 nt
Filed under: Hevea brasiliensis (rubber tree)
Lineage: Eukaryota; Viridiplantae; Streptophyta; Magnoliopsida; Malpighiales; Euphorbiaceae
Source: RNAcentral